GUCUGGUCCGAGUGUAGCGUUUACAACUAAUUGAUCACAAGCAGUUACAGAUCUCUUUGUUCCUUCUCCGCUUCCACUGCUUCACUCGACUUGCCUAAA
This 99-nucleotide Y RNA is filed under the name Piliocolobus tephrosceles (Ugandan red Colobus). RNAcentral's name for it is "Y RNA (ENSPTEG00000028987.1)". It matches the Rfam family "Y RNA". From Rfam's summary of the family: Y RNAs are components of the Ro ribonucleoprotein particle (Ro RNP), in association with Ro60 and La proteins. The Y RNAs and Ro60 and La proteins are well conserved, but the function of the Ro RNP is not known. Lineage: Eukaryota; Metazoa; Chordata; Mammalia; Primates; Cercopithecidae. The record is from Rfam by way of RNAcentral.